Molecule: ribosomal RNA, 434 nt
Filed under: uncultured Blautia sp.
Lineage: Bacteria; Bacillati; Bacillota; Clostridia; Lachnospirales; Lachnospiraceae
Description: bacterial SSU rRNA
Rfam family: Bacterial small subunit ribosomal RNA
Source: RNAcentral
ACGGAAGGCAGCAGUGGGGGAUAUUGCACAAUGGGGGAAACCCUGAUGCAGCGACGCCGCGUGAAGGAAGAAGUAUCUCGGUAUGUAAACUUCUAUCAGCAGGGAAGAUAAUGACGUUACCUGACUAAGAAGCCCCGGCUAACUACGUGCCAGCAGCCGCGGUAAUACGUAGGGGGCAAGCGUUAUCCGGAUUUACUGGGUGUAAAGGGAGCGUAGACGGAACGGCAAGUCUGAUGUGAAAGGCUGGGGCGCAACCCCGGGACUGCAUUGGAAACUGUCGGUCUUGAGUGCCGGAGGGGUAAGCGGAAUUCCUAGUGUAGCGGUGAAAUGCGUAGAUAUUAGGAGGAACACCAGUGGCGAAGGCGGCUUACUGGACGGUAACUGACGUUGAGGCUCGAAAGCGUGGGGAGCAAACAGGAUUAGAUACCCUGGUA